AUGGGGUCCCAGUGGGUGAUGGAGACCUCAGUGUGGGUGAGGGAUUCCAAUGGGUGAUGGGGUUCCAAUAAGUCGUCGUGUUCCUGUUGGUGAUGGGGUCCCAAUGGGUGAUGGGAUCCCAAUGCAUAGUGGCACUCCCCCCCAUUGGUGAUGGUGUCCCAGUGGAUGAUGAGGGACCUCAAUUUGUAAUGGAGACCUCAGUGGGAUCCCAUUGUGUAGUGGAAUCCCAAUGGGGUGAUGGGAUGUCAGUGGAUGAUGGGGUCCCAGUGCAUGAUGGAGACCUCAGUGGGUGUGGGUGGUGGUAUCCCAGUGGGUGAUGGGGUCCCAAUAAGUUGUGGUGUUCCUGUUGGUUAUGGGGUCCCAAUGGGUGAUGGGACCUCAAUGAUGGAGACCUCAAUGGGGUGAUGGGAUCCCAUUGCAUAGUGGCACUCCCAUUGGUGAUGGGGUCUGAAAGAGUGAUGGGAUCCUAGACAGUGAUGGGAUUUCAGUGAGUGAUGGAGACCUCAGUGGGUUCUGGGCUCUCAAUGGGUGAUGGGGUCACACUGAGUAGUGGCGUUCCUGUUGAUAAUGGGGUCCGCUUGUGUGAUAGGAUCCCAAUGAGUGGCUGGACUGCAAUGAGUGAUGGAGAUCUCAGUGGGUGAUGGGAUCCUUUUGGGUCUCCCAAUAGGGGAUCUUGGUUGCUAAUGGAGUCCCAGUGGAUGAUGAGGUCUUAAUGGAUGGUGGGGUCUCAGUAGGUGAUGGGAUCUCAAUGGGUAAUGGGGUCCCGAUGGGUAGUGAGGUCCCAGUGGGUGAUGAGAUCUCACUGGGUGAUGGAGAUCUCAAUGAGUAGUGGGAUCUCAAUGGGUGAUGGGAUCCCACUGGGUAGUGGCAUUCCCAUUGGUGAUGAGGUCCCAGCUGGUGAUGGGACCUUAAUGAGUGAUGGAGACCUCAAUGGGUGAUGAUUUCUCAGUGGGUGAUAGAGUCCUACUGGGUCCCCUAGUAGGGGACCUCAGUGGCUAAUGGGGUCCCAGUGGGUGGUAGAAACCUCAGUGGGUUAGAAAGGUGGGCCCAAGUGAACCUGAUGAGGUUCAACACGGCAAAGUGCAGAGUUUUGCACUUGGGCCGGAGGAAUGCCAGGCAUCC
This 1122-nucleotide long non-coding RNA is filed under the name Phasianus colchicus (ring-necked pheasant). RNAcentral describes it as "lncRNA (ENSPCLG00000007636.1)". Lineage: Eukaryota; Metazoa; Chordata; Aves; Galliformes; Phasianidae. The record is from RNAcentral.